GGAGUUUGAAGAGUGAGGUGGGCUCAGGAAGUCUUUGGCAACCCAGUGAGAGCAGAUGUGAGGCCACCACCACCCUGGGCCGGGGCCCUGCAGGUCUACAGGAAUGUCUCUGCAAGGAGCCGUCAGUGCGUCUAUGCUCCCUGAAGAAUGAAACCCAAGCUUCUUAUCAUGCAGAAGACGUCCCCAUCCCAGGUACUGUUGCCAACCAAGCUGGGAAGCACACAGGUUUCAGGAAAUUCCUUCCCACACAGCCAUCCUGUUCCUGGGAUUUAUUUAAAAGUGGAGGAGGAAAAGCAUCAUGCACAACUAUGUUCAUUAAAGACCAGCUUAGAAUAACACACAUGGAAACAAUAUACAUUCCAACUACACGCAUAGCUAAGACAAAUAUAGUAAAGAACUCUGUGAGGGAAAUAUUAUGUAACUAUUAGUAGUUCCCUUUGUUUGGAACACUUCCCCACCCCCUCUGCCUUAGUUUUCUGCCAGCUAACUCCCACUUAGCCUUCAAGACUCAGGGUACCCACCCCUCCUUCUCUGUCUUAUGUAACACCUGUGCACACCUCUAUGGCUAUCGAAGAAUUUACAGCCCACGCA
Molecule: non-coding RNA, 591 nt
Organism: Vicugna pacos (alpaca)
Lineage: Eukaryota; Metazoa; Chordata; Mammalia; Artiodactyla; Camelidae
Source: RefSeq, a predicted model, not a curated record